AUACGAAGGGGGCUAGCGUUGUUCGGAAUUACUGGGCGUAAAGCGCACGUAGGCGGACAUUUAAGUCAGAUGUGAAAUUCCCGGGCUUAACCUGGGAGCUGCAUUUGAUACUGGAUAUCUAGAGUGCGGGAGAGGAAAGUGGAAUUCCUAGUGUAGCGGUGAAAUGCGUAGAGAUUAGGAAGAACACCAGUGGCGAAGGCGACUUUCUGGACCGUAACUGACGCUGAGAUACGAAAGCGUGGGGAGC
Molecule: ribosomal RNA, 247 nt
Filed under: uncultured bacterium
Lineage: Bacteria
Description: partial 16S ribosomal RNA
Rfam family: Bacterial small subunit ribosomal RNA
Source: RNAcentral